UUAAUGACUCUCGGCAACGGAUAUCUCGGCUCUUGCAUCGAUGAAGAACGUWGCGAAAUGCGAUACUUGGUGUGAAUUGCAGAAUCCCGCGAACCAUCAAUUCUUUGAACGCAAGUUGCGCCCGAAGCCAUUCGGCCGAGGGCACGCCUGCCUGGGUGUCGUGA
Molecule: ribosomal RNA, 164 nt
Filed under: Brachyotum alpinum
Lineage: Eukaryota; Viridiplantae; Streptophyta; Magnoliopsida; Myrtales; Melastomataceae
Description: 5.8S ribosomal RNA
Rfam family: 5.8S ribosomal RNA
About the family: 5.8S ribosomal RNA (5.8S rRNA) is a component of the large subunit of the eukaryotic ribosome.
Source: RNAcentral